AUCGCUUCUCGGCCUUUUGGCUAAGAUCAAGUGUAAAAUUUUUGAGACAGGGUCUCACUACAUUGCUGAGGCAGACCUGAAACUUGCAAUCCUCCUGUCUCAGCCUUCUGCCUGUGCCAUCCUCUGGGUUUGGGAAGGCUCUU
This 143-nucleotide small RNA is filed under the name Marmota monax (woodchuck). Lineage: Eukaryota; Metazoa; Chordata; Mammalia; Rodentia; Sciuridae. The record is from RNAcentral.